GUUUUACCCCUGCUGGCAGGACGGUGGACACCUUUUGUGGCCAUGUAACUGCUCUUUUAGAGCGGUCACAUGGCCCCUGGGGCUCCUAAAUUGGAGAGGGGGGACAGUUCCACUCAGAGGAAGAUCGAUUCCCUUGCGGGAUGGCAGCGAUAGGUAAGUACAUGGGGAGGCUUCCGAUGCUCUGCUCCACACUGUCGGGCGCCACGUGCGGCAACCCGGAAGUGAUCACUCCGGGGGGAGUGAUCACUUGGGUGCCUGGCAGUGUUGGGGGAGGUAUUUCACAAUGCCUCGAUAACGAGGCCUCGUGCAAUACUCUUAGAGUGGCUGGGAGCGAUUCCAGCGCUCAAAUUUACCGUGGACGUAUGAGGUACGUCUGUGGUCCUUAAGGACCGAUUUUCAUCGUACUCAUAUGUCCGCAGUUGGGAAAGGGUUAAAUGUGAAACACACUUUGAAUCCUCACUUAUAGUAAGUAACCCUGCUAGAGUGUAUAUAAGAGAGGCACUGGUUGAGUGAAUGGGAAGGAGAUAGUGUGAGAGAUACACAGACAUCGCAACAUGCAAAAACUUAUUUCAAGGUGGUGGCUGCACACGCCAAC
Non-coding RNA from Pelobates cultripes (western spadefoot toad), 595 nucleotides. The record is from the annotation of a GenBank genome assembly. Lineage: Eukaryota; Metazoa; Chordata; Amphibia; Anura; Pelobatidae.